This 186-nucleotide ribosomal RNA is filed under the name uncultured archaeon. Its description in RNAcentral is "partial 16S ribosomal RNA". It matches the Rfam family "Archaeal small subunit ribosomal RNA", at positions 460 to 645 of the family's 1478-position model. The record is from RNAcentral.
CGCCGCCGCGGUAAUACCGGCGGCUCGAGUGGUGGCCACUUUUAUUGGGCUUAAAGCGUUCGUAGCUGGGUUGUUAAGUCUCUUGGGAAAUCUGACGGCUUAACCGUCAGGCGUCUAAGGGAUACUGGCAAUCUUGGAACCGGGAGAGGUGAGGGGUACUUCGGGGGUAGGAGUGAAAUCCUGUAA